UACGAAGGGGGCUAGCGUUGCUCGGAAUCACUGGGCGUAAAGCGCGCGCAGGCGGUCUUCCAAGUCAGUGGUGAAAGCCUGGAGCUCAACUCCAGAACUGCCAUUGAAACUGUUGGACUUGAGUACGAGAGAGGUGAGUGGAAUUCCCAGUGUAGAGGUGAAAUUCGUAGAUAUUGGGAAGAACACCAGUGGCGAAGGCGGCUCACUGGCUCGUAACUGACGCUCAGGCGCGACAGCGUGGGGAUCAAACAGG
Molecule: ribosomal RNA, 253 nt
Filed under: uncultured bacterium
Lineage: Bacteria
Description: partial 16S ribosomal RNA
Rfam family: Bacterial small subunit ribosomal RNA
Source: RNAcentral